UACAGAGGGGGCAAGCGUUAUUCGGAAUUAUUGGGCGUAAAGGGCGCGUAGGCGGCCUGGCAAGUGGAAGGUGAAAUCCCUCGGCUUAACCGAGGAACUGCCCUCCAAACUGCUUGGCUUGAGUCCGGGAGAGGUGAGUGGAAUUCCCAGUGUAGCGGUGAAAUGCGUAGAUAUCAGGAGGAACACCAAUAGCGAAGGCAGCUCGCUGGGACGGUACUGACGCUAAGGCGCGAAAGCGUGGGGAGCGAACAGG
Molecule: ribosomal RNA, 253 nt
Filed under: uncultured bacterium
Lineage: Bacteria
Description: partial 16S ribosomal RNA
Rfam family: Bacterial small subunit ribosomal RNA
Source: RNAcentral